Molecule: ribosomal RNA, 253 nt
Filed under: uncultured bacterium
Lineage: Bacteria
Description: partial 16S ribosomal RNA
Rfam family: Bacterial small subunit ribosomal RNA
Source: RNAcentral
UACGUAGGGACCGAGCGUUGUCCGGAAUCAUUGGGCGUAAAGAGCGUGUAGGCGGCCACUUAAGUCCUGCGUGAAAUCUUGCGGCUCAACCGCAAGCGGUCGUGGGAAACUGGGUGGCUAGAGUGCGGGAGAGGAGAGUGGAAUUCCUGGUGUAGCGGUGAAAUGCGCAGAUAUCAGGAGGAACACCAAUGGCGAAGGCAGCUCGCUGGGACGGUACUGACGCUGAGACGCGAAAGCGUGGGGAGCAAACAGG